Small nucleolar RNA from Lepisosteus oculatus (spotted gar), 135 nucleotides. The record is from Ensembl. Lineage: Eukaryota; Metazoa; Chordata; Actinopteri; Semionotiformes; Lepisosteidae.
UGCCUUUGUGUUGCCCAUUCAUUGCCCACUCCAGAUGAAUGAGGUGUCAGACAAGGCACACAUUAAUUCUUGCACGGGCUUACUUUAAGGGCACAAACUGUGUUCCCUGUGUAAAUGUUCCUAGCAAGUACAAUA